RNAcentral lists this long non-coding RNA (398 nucleotides) under Coccomyxa subellipsoidea. RNAcentral's name for it is "long non-coding RNA (CSUB_LNC000387)". The record is from RNAcentral. Lineage: Eukaryota; Viridiplantae; Chlorophyta; Trebouxiophyceae; Coccomyxaceae.
AGGUCCACCUGGCCCUGGUGCCCCAGGAUUGCCUUGCCCUGCGAUCACCAAUGUAAACCUCGCUUUAGACACUUAGUUGGUGCUCUUAAGUUGACUUAUGAAAUAAGACUUGACACUGGGGAACAACUCAUCAUAUGAUCCAGGUUUUUUGACGUUACCUGCUGUCAUCCAGGCUGGUAGAGUGGCUGCUCUACCCCUGCCUGCCAUAUUUCUCAAGCAGUAAAAUAGAAUGAAGCUCGUGAGACACGCUGAAAGAAUACAAUUUUGUCACAAGCCCAGACUUGAAGAUCCUAUCCCAUUAGAUGUCCCAACUUUAGAUUCAGGAUUCUUGACAUUGCACACACUUGCACAUCAUCGGCAACGCUGCAAGAUCGCAGCCGUACUCGCUUGAUUGCAUG